Molecule: ribosomal RNA, 253 nt
Filed under: uncultured bacterium
Lineage: Bacteria
Description: partial 16S ribosomal RNA
Rfam family: Bacterial small subunit ribosomal RNA
Source: RNAcentral
UACGUAGGGUGCAAGCGUUAAUCGGAGUUAUUGGGCGUAAAGGGUGCGCAGGCGGAUGUAUAAGUCAGAUGUGAAAUCCCCGGGCUUAACCUGGGAAUUGCGUUUGAAACUAUAUGACUAGAGUGUGAUAGAGGGGAGUGGAAUUCCAUGUGUAGCAGUGAAAUGCGUAGAGAUGUGGAAGAACACCGAUGGCGAAGGCAGCUCCCUGGAUUAACACUGACGCUCAUGCACGAAAGCGUGGGGAGCAAACAGG